Molecule: long non-coding RNA, 1045 nt
Organism: Biomphalaria glabrata
Lineage: Eukaryota; Metazoa; Mollusca; Gastropoda; Planorbidae
Exons: 4
Source: RefSeq, a predicted model, not a curated record
AUUUAUUUCUUUUAAGCUCGCGAUAUUCGGCACAAACUGGAUUAUUCAGUCUUCACUCUAGAGCGUACACACGUGGAUCAAAUUAGAGCUAGCUAGAUCUAGAUCUAAAUCUAGUUGAAGAUAUCUACUUGGUAGUCUAAACCUCAAAGGAGCUUAGGGAAGUGAUGGCAGUUGCAGGGUAUGAACCAGACGACCAUGCAGAGACCAACGAGGCGACCAAACAGUCCAUCGUGCAUACCACAUAACCAGGUCCAGAAUGCCAGUUUUCUUUAAGGGCAGCUGACAAUAAGAAUUGUCUAUGUAUGCACUACAGAUGCUGUUCAAUAUCUUUUCAUGAGGAAGCCUGCUCAAAAAGAUCGCCACAUUUUCUUUAGGGGAAGUUGACAUUAAUCUUUUAGGUUAAUAAUAACCUAUGCAUGCAGUACAGAUGCUGUUCAUCAUCUUUUCAUAAGCAAGCCUGCUCAAGAAGGUAAGAAUUAAAUUUUGCUUUUAGAUUACUGAUCAGCAAUCUGAAAGUAAAUUGUUAAUGGGAUGGAAUUGAUUAAAUGUAAAUAAAGAAAUGCUAUCCUAAUUUUGAAAUAUGCUGGUUGUGGUUUUUUUUUUAGUUAUGUUUUUUUUAAGUUUCACUGUGAUAAUUGUUUAUUUUAAUUCUAGAAUAACUUUUCAGCCAACUUAUUUUUAAAAUUACCAUAGAACUCUAAUUACAACAGAAUAUAGUUGUAUUAGUAAGAGCCUGUGAUAAAGUUAAUAUAAAUAAAUUGGACAAAAUAUAAUAUUGAAUGAAUUGAAGCCUAGCUCGAUCUAGUCUGCCAUUGCACUUUUAGCAUAGUCAAAUACCAGUGCCACAUUUGCUGACACCAAUUCAUAACAUUUAAUUUAAGGAGAAGAUUGAACUCCAAAUUUUGAAAUACCAUUAAUUUUUGUGUUGCUUAAUAGGCUUUAGAAGCAACCUAAUUUUUGAGCACCGUUUAUCAUCAAGGGCUGGAAAUAUAACCGUUAAAUAGUAUGUCCACAUAGAUAAAUGUAAGGUCUUCUGAUGUUUAAU